Molecule: ribosomal RNA, 243 nt
Filed under: uncultured bacterium
Lineage: Bacteria
Description: partial 16S ribosomal RNA
Rfam family: Bacterial small subunit ribosomal RNA
Source: RNAcentral
AGAGUUUGAUCAUGGCUCAGGAUGAACGCUGGCGGCGUGCCUAACACAUUCAAGUCGAACGGUGAAAGGAGCUUCGGCUCCCGGAACAGUGGCGGACGGGUGAGUAACGCGUGAGCAACCUGCCUGUGUGAGGGGAAUAACAGUUGGAAACGACUGCUAAUACCGCAUGACGCAUCAUUUUCGCAUGGAGAAGGUUGACCAAAGUAAUUAUCGCACACGAGAGUGGGCUCGCGUCUGUAUUAG